Non-coding RNA from Mus musculus (house mouse), 76 nucleotides. NCBI's taxonomy places the organism in Eukaryota, Metazoa, Chordata, Mammalia, Rodentia, Muridae. The record is from Rfam.
GUAGAGAUGGCUCAGUGGGUAAGACCACACAGAUUGCUCUUCCUCGUGGACCUGGGUUCAAUUCCCAGUACCUACA